Molecule: ribosomal RNA, 468 nt
Filed under: uncultured bacterium
Lineage: Bacteria
Description: bacterial SSU rRNA
Rfam family: Bacterial small subunit ribosomal RNA
Source: RNAcentral
GAUGAACGCUAGCGGCAGGCUUAAUACAUGCAAGUCAAGGGGGUAGCAAUACAACCGGCGCACGGGUGAGUAACACGUACACAACAUACCAUAUACUGAGGUAUAGCUUCGGGAAACUGAAGGUAAUCCCUCAUAGUAUUGUGAAAGGGCAUCUUUUUACAAUUAAAGUUUCGACGGUAUAUGAUUGGUGUGCGUUUGAUUAGCUAGUUGGUAGGGUAACGGCCUACCAGGGCAACGAUCAAUAGCUGGCGUGAGAGCGCGACCAGCCACACUGGAACUGAGACACGGUCCAGACUCCUACGGGAGGCAGCAGUAGGGAAUAUUGGACAAUGGGCGAAAGCCUGAUCCAGCCAUGCCGCGUGAUAGAUGAAGGCCCUCUGGGUUGUAAAUAUCUUUUAUCUGGGAAGAAACACUUCUAUUCUUAGAAGCUUGACGGUACCAGAGGAAUAAGCACCGGCUAACUCCGUG